Lycium barbarum (goji berry) is the source of this 612-nucleotide long non-coding RNA. RefSeq lists it as uncharacterized. The transcript is spliced from 3 exons. The record is from RefSeq and is a predicted model, not a curated record. NCBI's taxonomy places the organism in Eukaryota, Viridiplantae, Streptophyta, Magnoliopsida, Solanales, Solanaceae.
AAAAUCACUCAAAUCAUCAUUGAAUAAUCUCAAAUUUGGUGUUUAGCUUCUCUCAGGUGUUUACAAUGAUUUUCAAAAACACUCACUCACAAUAAUAACCAAUUUUCAAAUCCGAAUUUUCAACUUCAAGAAACGAGUUUUAAUUUUUCUUGGACUCACUUGUCCUUUUCUUUUAAAAUGAAGUCUCCCCUCUUAACUUGUCCCUUCAAGAUAUAACCAAAUCGUUCAUUGUGAUUUAACUGAAGAAAUAUAAACUCUCUCUCAUUCUUCCACUGUGAUUUGGACUUCAACAACCAAAUCAUCGCUUUCCAAUCGUCCCUUGUAGGGCCCUAUUCAGUCUCUCUUCAACUGUCCCUGUAAUGGUUUCAUGAAGUGGAGUUCCAGGUUCUGUUGUAGAGAACCCUUCAUCAGCAGGGGAUGCUCCUAGGCCGUCAGAAAUUCUGAUUUCUGGUCUUUGCAAAGGAAGGUCAGAAAGCUUUUGCUCUAUAGAAUCAUCAGUGGCUAAGAUUUCUCUAUUCUGAUAAAGGAAACUGAGGAAGAAUACAAGAAGAGCGGAGCCUGCUAAUACACCAGCUAUGAGGAAAAGGCCUUUAAAACUAUCUAGCGUGAGAC